This is a microRNA precursor of Oryza sativa Japonica Group (Japanese rice), 207 nucleotides long. It matches the Rfam family "MIR812 microRNA precursor family". The record is from Rfam. NCBI's taxonomy places the organism in Eukaryota, Viridiplantae, Streptophyta, Magnoliopsida, Poales, Poaceae.
AAAAAGACAAACCCUGAGUUUCCGUGUUCAACGUUUGACUAUCCGUCUUAUAUAAAUUUUUUUAUAAUUAGUAUUUUAAUUGUUGUUAGAUGAUAAAACAUGAUUAAUACUUUAUGUGUGACUUGUCUUUUUAAUUUUUUUUAAUAUUUUUUUUAAAUAAGACGGACGGUCAAAUGUUGGACACGAAAACCCAGGGUUUAUCUUUUU